UACGGGGGGGGCAAGCGUUGUUCGGAAUUACUGGGCGUAAAGGGCUUGUAGGUGGCCAACUAAGUCAGACGUGAAAUCCCUCAGCUUAACUGGGGAACUGCGUCUGAUACUGGAUGGCUUGAGUUUGGGAGAGGGAAGCGGAAUUCCGGGUGUAGCGGUGAAAUGCGUAGAUAUCCGGAGGAACACCGGUGGCGAAGGCGGCUUCCUGGACCGACACUGACGCUGAGGCGCGAAAGCUAGGGGAGCAAACGGG
RNAcentral lists this ribosomal RNA (253 nucleotides) under uncultured bacterium. RNAcentral's name for it is "partial 16S ribosomal RNA". It matches the Rfam family "Bacterial small subunit ribosomal RNA", at positions 524 to 776 of the family's 1533-position model. The record is from RNAcentral.